RNAcentral lists this ribosomal RNA (764 nucleotides) under uncultured bacterium. Its description in RNAcentral is "bacterial SSU rRNA". It matches the Rfam family "Bacterial small subunit ribosomal RNA", at positions 37 to 796 of the family's 1533-position model. The record is from RNAcentral.
UGGCGGCAGGCCUAACACAUGCAAGUCGAGCGGUAGAGAGAAGCUUGCUUCUCUUGAGAGCGGCGGACGGGUGAGUAAUGCCUAGGAAUCUGCCUGGUAGUGGGGGAUAACGUUCGGAAACGGACGCUAAUACCGCAUACGUCCUACGGGAGAAAGCAGGGGACCUUCGGGCCUUGCGCUAUCAGAUGAGCCUAGGUCGGAUUAGCUAGUUGGUGAGGUAAUGGCUCACCAAGGCGACGAUCCGUAACUAGUCUGAGAGGAUGAUCAGUCACACUGGAACUGAGACACGGUCCAGACUCCUACGGGAGGCAGCAGUGGGGAAUAUUGGACAAUGGGCGAAAGCCUGAUCCAGCCAUGCCGCGUGUGUGAAGAAGGUCUUCGGAUUGUAAAGCACUUUAAGUUGGGAGGAAGGGUUGUAGAUUAAUACUCUGCAAUUUUGACGUUACCGACAGAAUAAGCACCGGCUAACUCUGUGCCAGCAGCCGCGGUAAUACAGAGGGUGCAAGCGUUAAUCGGAAUUACUGGGCGUAAAGCGCGCGUAGGUGGUUUGUUAAGUUGGAUGUGAAAUCCCCGGGCUCAACCUGGGAACUGCAUUCAAAACUGACUGACUAGAGUAUGGUAGAGGGUGGUGGAGUUUCCUGUGUAGCGGUGAAAUGCGUAGAUAUAGGAAGGAACACCAGUGGCGAAGGCGACCACCUGGACUAAUACUGACACUGAGGUGCGAAAGCGUGGGGAGCAAACAGGAUUAGAUACCCUGGUAGUCC